This 586-nucleotide ribosomal RNA is filed under the name Strobilurus stephanocystis. RNAcentral describes it as "eukaryotic LSU rRNA". It matches the Rfam family "Eukaryotic large subunit ribosomal RNA", at positions 87 to 657 of the family's 3401-position model. The record is from RNAcentral. Lineage: Eukaryota; Fungi; Basidiomycota; Agaricomycetes; Agaricales; Physalacriaceae.
CUGCGAGUGAAGAGGGAAAAGCUCAAAUUUAAAAUCUGGCAGCUUCGCUGUCCGAGUUGUAAUUUAGAGAAGUGUUACCCGUGCUGGACCGUGUACAAGUCUCCUGGAACGGAGCGUCAUAGAGGGUGAGAAUCCCGUCUUUGACACGGACUCCCAGUGCAUUGUGGUACGCUCUCAAAGAGUCGUGUUGUUUGGGAAUGCAGCACUAAAUGGGUGGUAAAUUCCAUCUAAAGCUAAAUAUUGGCGAGAGACCGAUAGCAAACAAGUACCGUGAGGGAAAGAUGAAAAGAACUUUGGAAAGAGAGUUAAACAGUACGUGAAAUUGUUGAAAGGGAAACGCUUAAAGUCCAGUCGCGUUGGUUGGAAAUCAGUCUUGCUUCUGCUUGAUGUACUUUCUAACCGACGGGUCAGCAUCAGUUUUGACCGUUGGAUAAAGGUUGGAGGAAUGUGGCAUCUUCGGGUGUGUUAUAGCCUUCGAUUGUAUACAACGGUUGGGACUGAGGAACUCAGCACGCCGCAAGGCCGGGUCUCGUACCACGUUCGUGCUUAGGAUGCUGGCAUAAUGGCUUUAAUCGACCCGUCUUGA